CCCGUGAUGAGUUGUUGUCCUGUCCAAGCCUGGCUCCCCAACCUUGUACCCUGAGCUGCUGAGAUUGGCUCUGGCUAAUCACGACCCUGAGCUGGAAUAAUUGGGCAAAACAAGAAUGAUAAUAGGCAUGUCUCAAGGUUGCUGUGUGGACCAGCUAAAGCCCUAUGUAAGAAAGCACUUCACAUACAGAAGAGGGUUUUCCUACGUAACAAACCUGCACAUCCUGCACAUGUAUCCUGGAACUUAAAAUAAAAUAAAAUAAAAUUUUUAAAAAGAAUAAAUAAAUAGCAGUGUUUUUCCAUUUUUGCAGCCUAGUCCAAAGACGUUUACAUCCUGGAAGAGAACUUGCUGGCUUUUCACCUCAGCAUGUAUGGGCCAAACUAAUAUAACAAGAAGUCUUGAGAGGAGUCAGCGGCCAAGCUCCAUGUCUUGCAGCCAAACAAUGCUGUGGGAUGGAAGGUGGGAUGUCAUGUGUCUGGUUUACAGCACUCACGUAUCAGUUGGCAGUUAACGGAAGUGCUACUGAUUGUAACAGUGGAAGCAAUUUGAAAUGAAAUACAACACUUAAAGCAAAUGAAACGGAAGUGAAUGCCAGCAGUAAAUGGCAAGAAGAAAUCCAGUUCAGUGUGUUCCUCAGAAAUCUUGCCUCUUGGGACUAAGUGAUAUGCCUACUCCCCCUUCACCUUCGAUCAUGAUUGUAAACUUCGUGAGGACAUCACCAAAGGCUGACAUUGGCAACAUGCUUCCUGUACAAUCUGCAGAACAACGAUGGAACAAAAUAAACACCUUUUCUUUAUAAAUUACCCGGCUUCAUGUAUUCCUU
Molecule: long non-coding RNA, 823 nt
Filed under: Homo sapiens (human)
Lineage: Eukaryota; Metazoa; Chordata; Mammalia; Primates; Hominidae
Description: non-protein coding LINC02223:10
Source: RNAcentral